Molecule: ribosomal RNA, 320 nt
Filed under: uncultured bacterium
Lineage: Bacteria
Description: partial 16S ribosomal RNA
Rfam family: Bacterial small subunit ribosomal RNA
Source: RNAcentral
GGGAAUAUUGCACAAUGGGCGCAAGCCUGAUGCAGCCAUGCCGCGUGUGUGAAGAAGGCCUUCGGGUUGUAAGCACUUUCAGCGAGGAGGAAGGGUUCAGUGUUAAUAGCACUGUUCAUUGACGUUACUCGCAGAAGAAGCACCGGCUAACUCCGUGCCAGCAGCCGCGGUAAUACGGAGGGUGCAAGCGUUAAUCGGAAUUACUGGGCGUAAAGCGCACGCAGGCGGUUUGUUAAGUCAGAUGUGAAAUCCCCGCGCUUAACGUGGGAACUGCAUUUGAAACUGGCAAGCUAGAGUCUUGUAGAGGGGGGUGAGAAUUC